RNAcentral lists this ribosomal RNA (334 nucleotides) under Dipsas articulata. RNAcentral's name for it is "partial small subunit ribosomal RNA". Lineage: Eukaryota; Metazoa; Chordata; Lepidosauria; Squamata; Dipsadidae. The record is from RNAcentral.
AAAGACUUGACGGUGCUUCACAACAACCUAGAGGAGCCUGUCUAAUAACCGAUACUCCACGAUUAACCCAACCCGCUCUCGCCUAUCAGUCUAUAUACCGCCGUCGCCAGCUUACCUUGUGAAAGAAAAAAAGUAAACCUAACAGGCUACCCCUAACACGACAGGUCGAGGUGUAACAAAUGAGCGGGUAAAAGAUGGGCUACAUUUUCUAAAACAGAAUAUACGAAUAAACUAUGAAACUAGAAACUGAAGGCGGAUUUAGCAGUAUGUUAAGAACAAAACACCUAACCGAAACUAAUGCAAUGAAGUGCGUACACACCGCCCGUCAUCCCUG